GAUGAAGAACGCAGCGAAAUGAGAUAAGUAAUGUGAAUUGCAGAAUUCAGUGAAUCAUCGAAUCUUUGAACGCACAUUGCGCCCGGUAGUAUUCUGCCGGGCAUGCCUGUUCGAGCGUCAUUUCAACCAUCAAGCCCCAGCGCUUGUGUUGGGGGCCUGCGGCUGCCGCAGCCCCCUAAAAGCAGUGGCGGGCUCGCUAUCACACCGAGUGCAGUAGUUCAUCUUCUCUCCGGUCUUGUGAGGCGGGUUCCGGCCGUGAAACACCCCACUACAUUCAAGGUUGACCUCGGAUCAGGCAGGAAUACCCGCUGAACUUAAGCAUAUCAAUAAGCGGAGGA
Molecule: unclassified non-coding RNA, 338 nt
Filed under: soil metagenome
Description: partial contains 5.8S ribosomal RNA, internal transcribed spacer 2, and large subunit ribosomal RNA
Rfam family: 5.8S ribosomal RNA (bases 1-120)
Source: RNAcentral